This is a long non-coding RNA of Zalophus californianus (California sea lion), 1873 nucleotides long. RefSeq lists it as uncharacterized. Lineage: Eukaryota; Metazoa; Chordata; Mammalia; Carnivora; Otariidae. The transcript is spliced from 3 exons. The record is from RefSeq and is a predicted model, not a curated record.
UUUACUAAUUGUUGAAACCUUCCCAGCUGGAAAAGGCAAUUAGAUCAAUAAAUUAAUUCACCAGAUGCUUCUCAAUUGGGGUUUUUCCAAGAAGUUUUCCUCCCUGAAAGAAAAAAAAGAAGAAGAAGUGGGUUAUGGCAUCAGCCCUACUUAAUCACCCAGCACUUCAGCCUCCCGAGACAAGCUAUGCCCACCCAUCGUUGACCUUUAAGUGUUAAGCAACAAACCCAGAGCAAGCUAAAUCUUAGUCACUGAGCUGAGAAGAAAGAAUUGGUCUGCACUGUACUUUCUGUAACACCUAAAAAUAACUUCUCCCCAUGGACUGGAGUGGGGAACUUGACUGGGAAAUAUAGCAGAAGACCUUGAUUAAAAAGCCGAUAAGAAGGCAGGUACACUGCUGUACCAGACAUUGCAUGGCCAAUGGAGCUAGAAGACGUACAUGUGUGUGUGUGUGGGUGGGUGGGUGUGGGUGUGUACCAGAGGGCCUGGUUCCCCUGCUGUAGAUCACAUCUGGGGCAGUAAAGACACCGUGUGAUGGGGCUUUACCACUCCCUCAUCUGAUGACUAACAUGGAGAAGAUUCAGUGAGAAAUUAGAAGCCACUGGAGGCAGAGGAUGGAGUUCCAGUGUAGAAACAAGAACACGGGCUCCCAACUACCAGCUGUGACACUUCCCACUUACCUGGGUGGGCGGCCCUGGACAAGUCUCUGAAGCUUUCUGGAUUCGUUUUCCUCAUCCACCGAUGGGGGGAGUAGACGAGAUGCUCUCCAAGUCCCUUCCAGCCACAGCAUUCUUGGGAGUCCGCUUGUUUCUCGUGGUCAUCUGCUUCAUGGCUUCCUUUGGCUCCUCUGCUCCCAUCCCGCCUGGCCACCCACACGCACUACCGCCUUUCCUCACUCCUUCCUGCUGUCUGCUUCUGCCACCACCAGACCGGAGGAUCAGGCACACUCAGAGUUUCCCGUAAGCACAGAAUCCCAUGAACACCAGACAGAGAGGGGCAAGGAGGGGGAAGCUGCACGUGAGCCAGCCUGCCCCGAGCCCUGCUCCUCGGAUACCUCGGAUGUGUCCUUAUUGAAAGCCUGCUCUGUCUGCCACGGUUUGCCAGGGGCAUUGAGGAUGCAGGAAAAGGGACCCCUCUAAACAGUGUACCUGGAAGAAUUCUGACUUGUUUCAAGUGCUCUUUCUCCAGUUGGCUGAAGCUUCUGUGACUCCACUCCUGUCCGGCUUGCCUGGUUCUCUGGGCAGGCACAGUGAGAGGAACAGUUUGACACCAAACUCUGAUCACGGCCACCCCAUCCGCUGUUUCAGAGCUGAUGUGCUUCCCUGGAUGGAAUGAAUGGAUCAUGGCUAGGACUCAGCUCUAGCUAUUGCCAGAUCACUCUCCAGAAAAAUGCAACUGAUUUCUAGGGUCUCCAACUCCAUUUAAAUGUGCCAUUUUCCCCAGCACGGAACUGUGCUGUCACUGAGUUUUGUCAUUUGUAGUCACCUUUGCCCUGUCAAACUGGGGAGACUGAGACAGUCAGGAUAUAGGAUAGGAGUCAAGGGAGAGGAUUUGCAAGAUGAAGCCAAGAAGCAGAACUGCGCAGAAGCUAAGAAAUGCUCCAUGUGAGACAGAGUGAAUGAGAUGCACUUUUUACGGCCACUUGUCCUUGGGUGUGCGGUGGGCUGGCCUGGGUUGAAAAUUUAGAGUCAGGGGGACACCAGUUUAGCACAUGUGUAGUGGAGCCUGAGGCUUGUUUCUAUCUUCGCAUUUCUUUCCUUUUUCAGCCAGCCUGUGCAUCUUUCUGUGGAUAGUUUACUAUCUGCAAUCCUUCUGUGCAUUAUCAUGGAUUCCUUGUCCUGAGGUCUCUUUCCCCUGCUUUCUCAAGCGAAAA